UGGGGAAUUUUGGACAAUGGGGGAAACCCUGAUCCAGCCAUCCCGCGUGUGCGAUGAAGGCCUUCGGGUUGUAAAGCACUUUUGGCAGGAAAGAAACGUCGCGGGUUAAUACCCCGCGAAACUGACGGUACCUGCAGAAUAAGCACCGGCUAACUACGUGCCAGCAGCCGCGGUAAUACGUAGGGUGCAAGCGUUAAUCGGAAUUACUGGGCGUAAAGCGUGCGCAGGCAGUUCGGAAAGAAAGAUGUGAAAUCCCAGAGCUUAACUUUGGAACUGCAUUUUUAACUACCGGGCUAGAGUGUGUCAGAGGGAGGUGGAAUUCCGCGUGUAGCAGUGAAAUGCGUAGAUAUGCGGAGGAACACCGAUGGCGAAGGCAGCCUCCUGGGAUAACACUGACGCUCAUGCACGAAAGCGUGGGGAGCAAACAGGAUUAGAUACCCUGGUAGUCCACGCCCUAAACGAUGUCAACUAGCUGUUGGGGCCUUCGGGCCUUGGUAGCGCAGCUAACGCGUGAAGUUGGCCGCCU
RNAcentral lists this ribosomal RNA (526 nucleotides) under uncultured bacterium. RNAcentral describes it as "partial 16S ribosomal RNA". It matches the Rfam family "Bacterial small subunit ribosomal RNA", at positions 355 to 874 of the family's 1533-position model. The record is from RNAcentral.